CAGAGUUCUCGCCCUCGCGGGUAGAUCUCCCACCCAAUGUUAUCACUACGAUUGUUGCUUUGGCGGGCCGCCGGGCCCUGCCCGUCCGCCGGCUCCGGCCGGCGCGCGCCCGCCAGAGGCCCUUCAAACUCUGAAUGUUAGUGUCGUCUGAGUACUAUAUAAUAGUUA
This 168-nucleotide unclassified non-coding RNA is filed under the name uncultured Oidiodendron. RNAcentral's name for it is "sequence contains ITS1". Lineage: Eukaryota; Fungi; Ascomycota; Leotiomycetes; Myxotrichaceae. The record is from RNAcentral.